This 1524-nucleotide long non-coding RNA is filed under the name Mus musculus (house mouse). RNAcentral describes it as "long non-coding RNA chr11:116970972-116972496". The record is from RNAcentral. Lineage: Eukaryota; Metazoa; Chordata; Mammalia; Rodentia; Muridae.
UUUGUCUAAUUGUCCUUGUUAUUUUAAUUGGCCACCGCCCUUCCUUGUCCAUUCACACUGACUGAUUCAGCUAAUUAUAUUCUAAACCUGUCCCUUCUGGCCGAGGGCAAGGCAGGCCUGAUGUGUCCUCAGCUGCUGAGGAGAGGGAAGCCACCGGAAGAGGCAGCCAGCCCAGCCGGAGGUUGAUGGAGGGAGGCAGCCAAGCAUCCACCCACCCAUUCAUCCAUCCAUCCAUCCACCCACCCACCCAUCCAUCCAUUCAUUCAUCCAUCCAUCCAGAGGCUCUAGCUGCCUCUGUGCGUUAGAGAUGCUUCUAAAGUUGAGAAUUGCCUGGAAGUCAGUAGCAUCAUCCUCUGUCCUGAGUACCCACACAGAGGGCCCUGGGAGACAGUAGAACCAUCCCCUGUCCUGAGACCCACACAGAGGGCUCUGGGAGACAGUAGAACCAUCCCCUGUCCUGAGACCCACACAGAGGGCCCUGGGAGACAGUAGAACCAUCCUCUGUCCUGAGACCCACACAGAGGGCCCUGGGAGACAGUAGAACCAUCCCCUGUCCUGAGACCCACACAGAGGGCCCUGGGAGACAGUAGAACCAUCCUCUGUCCUGAGUACCCACACAGAGGGCUCUGGGCCUCGGGGCAGGGCUCUGCCUCACUGCAAAGCCAAGAGCAGGAAGGAAGUUUGGGUCUAUUCUGCAGUCAGCUUAGGACCACAGCAUUCCCAGGCAUUGGAACAGGAGGCAUCCGGGCCUGGGCAUGGGGCUCAGUUGGCAGACUGCUUGCCUAGCACAGACAAGACCCUGGUUUCAAGCAGCACGGGACAUGUAGGUGCACACCUAUAAUUCCAGCAGUUAGGUGGAGACAGGGAAAUCAGAAUGUUGGAGUUACCCUCAGUUACAUGGGGGAGUGUUAAAGCCAGCCUAAGGUACACCAGAUGUGGCCGGGAAUGUCUCAUGGGAUUGUCCAUGUGCCUGUCCUUCAAGGAGGGAUUGGGGAGGCCACACUGUGUUUGAUUAGCUCCCCUGAGGGAGCUCCCCCUCCAUGCCCGUGAGGCCAAGGUGUGGAUCACAAGCAUAUGGGGUGGGAAACAGGGUGACAGGAAUUUGGGGGUGUCUCAGGUAGCCUGAGAAUGCCUUGCUUGCGGCUGGCACUCACCAGGGUUCUGCCCACACAGGAAAGCAGUGGACCCUGGAGACCUUUGAUUCCAGGUUUCAGCAUCUCCCAGGGCCACUGCCAGAGCUGCUCAGGUCCAAGGCAGGAGAACAAGAGAGGAGAUGGAAAGCUAGUCCUCCUGUGGACAGGUUUAUCCACACCUGACCCCAGGAUUGUGGCUGUGUUCAGUGCCUCAGCCCAGCUGUUGCAGGAUGAGAAAUCUCGUUAACUUAAAAAAAAAAAAAAAAAAGCAUUAAUUGAAUAAGGAGAGAACCCCUGCCCCCUUGAUCAUAUACUCUUUUAGACAAACCAUAUGUCUUGGGUCAUCUUCUAACAAGAAUGCAAUAAUGGUGCUUUUCUGCAAAAUCUAAGC